This 71-nucleotide transfer RNA is filed under the name Fuerstiella marisgermanici. Its description in RNAcentral is "Fuerstia marisgermanicae tRNA". It matches the Rfam family "tRNA". Rfam says of the family: Transfer RNA (tRNA) molecules are approximately 80 nucleotides in length. Their secondary structure includes four short double-helical elements and three loops (D, anti-codon, and T loops). Further hydrogen bonds mediate the characteristic L-shaped molecular structure. tRNAs have two regions of fundamental functional importance: the anti-codon, which is responsible for specific mRNA codon recognition, and the 3' end, to which the tRNAs corresponding amino acid is attached (by aminoacyl-tRNA synthetases). tRNAs cope with the degeneracy of the genetic code in two manners: having more than one tRNA (with a specific anti-codon) for a particular amino acid; and 'wobble' base-pairing, i.e. permitting non-standard base-pairing at the 3rd anti-codon position. Lineage: Bacteria; Pseudomonadati; Planctomycetota; Planctomycetia; Planctomycetales; Planctomycetaceae. The record is from Rfam by way of RNAcentral.
CGUGGUAGCUCACUGGGUAGAGCAUCAGGCUACUAACCUGACGGUAGCGGGUUCGAAUCCCGUCCACACGA